UUACGGCCAUAUCACGUUAAAAUAUCGCUUUUCGUUUGAUCACCGAAGUUAAGCAAUGUCGAGCCUGGUCAGUAGAGAGAUGGAUCACCGUUUGGGAAUACGAGAUGCU
Molecule: non-coding RNA, 109 nt
Organism: Acanthosepion pharaonis
Lineage: Eukaryota; Metazoa; Mollusca; Cephalopoda; Sepiida; Sepiidae
Source: the annotation of a GenBank genome assembly